UUGGCACACAUCUCGCUGAAACAUGCCACCAUGGAAAUAGUUUCUCCUCUGUUAUUUACACUCAACGUAUUGGAACGUCUUACAGGCAAUUGUAUCGUGAAACAAGAUUUCCAGUGGCGUUUUGUGAAUUUACAUCACUGCCAGAUGCAACGAAUGAGCUCAAAUUAUGAACACUCGGUAAAUAUUGAGACCUGUCACCUUUGAUUUCAUAGAUGAUCGCUAAUCGUGUAGAAUGACACCAUCAUUUACCUAAGGGAGCUUUUAAGCUGGAAUGGACAGUGUAAAAGAUGUUUCCAUGCAAUAGAAUGGAUUGAUUCGCUCCAUGAGAGAAUUCACCAGCGCAAGUACCAAACGGUAACUCCUUUGAGGAAUUUUCCCGUGCCAUCUACCAGAGGACAAUGCAUCUUGACUGGGUCAGGUAGAAUAAAAAGUAGUAUGUUUUAUUCCAGGGAAAAAAUUCAAAAGUAAAAACUUUGUUAAAGGAUGCGACUAAACUUACUUUGGUGAAUUUCUUGAUACAUAUUUUAUAAUGUAAAAGUUACAAAAUACAAAUUUAAAUUAUUUUUCAUAAAUGCUUUAAACCAUAACCAGUGAAAUUAGAGAGUAAAAGAAAGAGAACUUGAUCCAGUCUGUUAAUUAGAUAGUAUAAUAAUACGUCAAAAGAGCUUAUUUGUUGUGAGGACAUUUAAAAUGUCCUACUUUCUAAGAAUAAUUGCCUUGGUUACAUGAAAAUAAUUUAAUUUUGUUUCUACCAU
Chelonus insularis is the source of this 755-nucleotide long non-coding RNA. RefSeq lists it as uncharacterized. The transcript is spliced from 3 exons. The record is from RefSeq and is a predicted model, not a curated record. NCBI's taxonomy places the organism in Eukaryota, Metazoa, Arthropoda, Insecta, Hymenoptera, Braconidae.